AAGAGACGUUGCCCUUCGGGGUAUACCUCCCACCCUUUGUUUAUUAUACCUUUGUUGCUUUGGCGGGCCCGUCCUCGGACCACCGGCUUCUUGCUGGUCAGUGCCCGCCAGAGGACCUAAAACUCUGUUUGUUAAUAUUGUCUGAGUACUAUAUAAUAGUUAA
This 163-nucleotide unclassified non-coding RNA is filed under the name soil metagenome. RNAcentral describes it as "partial internal transcribed spacer 1". The record is from RNAcentral.